AACGGUCUAUACCUGCGGUACCUGCGGAAGGAUCAUUAGUGAACGCCCUCGCGGGCUUAUAACUAUUCCAAACCUCUGUGAACCGUGCCCUUCGGGGCUAUUUUACAAACAUGGUGUAAUGAACGUCAUAUAUCAUAACAAAACAAAACUUUCAACAAUGGAUCUCU
This 167-nucleotide unclassified non-coding RNA is filed under the name soil metagenome. RNAcentral's name for it is "partial contains 5.8S ribosomal RNA, internal transcribed spacer 2, and large subunit ribosomal RNA". The record is from RNAcentral.